UGCCCGACCGGGCGCCGCCGCCAUUUUGUCUGUCGCCCUUCGCCCAGGGCCCGGCACAGGGCCUCCCGCGGGGAAGGCUGCUUACUUCGUAUUUGCUAAGCGGAUGAGUGGGAGCCAUUCUAAAUUUAAAAAUAUUAACCAGUGCUCUCGUGGCGUGUCCUUCUGCCCGUUGCCCUUGCUCCACCCCAAACAGGCAGCCCCUGAGAGGGACUCAUCCCCUCAAGGAGCGAAUGACUGGACGAGGAGGCGCUUUUGAGGGAACUCUCGGGACAGAAACAACUGAUUUGGACAAAUACCUGAUAAAUUAGAUUUCCUGACUUGGAGGAAGUGGAGAAUACGUAGGGGAGCAAGGUGAAAAACAAUUAUGUUCCAGCAAUUUCACACGAUUCGACCUCAAGGCUAUUGAACGUGUAUGCAGUGCAGUAAGCGCAGCACUAAGUGCUUUAGUGGUAAGAGAGGUUCCAACAGCCACAGCUAAAAUGCUGGUCAGAAGCUCCUGGACAACACUGUGCAAGUUCUCUAAAGAAGGAGGGUGAAUUCGAUGAGAAAUGACUGCUCGGUGAGCAGGAUUCUGGAGAACGUGGCUGCGCAUUUUCAGGGCUUUCCCAUGGAGAGAGAUGGUGGUGGAAAGUUGUAUGUGCUUUGAGAUAGCAAUCGUAAUGUAGGAAAUGUAAGCCCCAGGAAGAGUCAUAACAAAUAGUACUAACGACUGUGGUCACAUGCUCCUCUGCCUUG
Molecule: long non-coding RNA, 735 nt
Organism: Choloepus didactylus (southern two-toed sloth)
Lineage: Eukaryota; Metazoa; Chordata; Mammalia; Pilosa; Megalonychidae
Exons: 3
Source: RefSeq, a predicted model, not a curated record